AACGAACGCUGGCGGCAUGCCUAACACAUGCAAGUCGAACGAGACCUUCGGGUCUAGUGGCGCACGGGUGCGUAACGCGUGGGAAUCUGCCCUUCGGUUGGGAAUAACUGAGAGAAAUUUCAGCUAAUACCUUAUAAUGUCUUCGGACCAAAGAUUUAUCGCCGAGGGAUGAGCCCGCGUAGGAUUAGGUAGUUGGUGGGGUAAUGGCCUACCAAGCCGACGAUCCUUAGCUGGUCUGAGAGGAUGAUCAGCCACACUGGGACUGAGACACGGCCCAGACUCCUACGGGAGGCAGCAGUGGGGAAUAUUGGACAAUGGGCGAAAGCCUGAUCCAGCAAUGCCGCGUGAGUGAUGAAGGCCUUAGGGUUGUAAAGCCCUUUUACCCGGGAUGAUAAUGACAGUACCGGGAGAAUAAGCUCCGGCUAACUCCGUG
This 433-nucleotide ribosomal RNA is filed under the name uncultured bacterium. RNAcentral's name for it is "partial 16S ribosomal RNA". It matches the Rfam family "Bacterial small subunit ribosomal RNA", at positions 29 to 507 of the family's 1533-position model. The record is from RNAcentral.